AAGUAUGUAUAUGACUAUAUCUUACCCUUCAUCUCAAUCUAAUUUGUGUAUUAGAUUCAGUUACUAUCUGUUCUGGCUUAUUAUUAUCCUUGCAUUUAUAUUCGACUAGGUUAUCUCAACCUUUAUACAACUUUCUUAAGGUUUAACAAAGUUUAAACAAUGUUACAUUAUGUUCCUUAGGUUGUGUUUACUUUUAAAUCAAUUAACUUUCUUUUCCUUGUAAUUAAAAACAUUCAUCACUAUUCUUGUUCUGAGGCUGGCGCUGCGGCGCCAGCUUUAUACUCACAUCUCGCGCUGCGACGCGAGCUUAUAGUAGCAUUGUCCCGGACAUGGCGUUGCGACGUGAGUCCUUACUUGGUGAGCCGCGCUGCGGCGCGCUCUCGCAGUGUGCUCGGACAUUGUUACGCUCUGCGGCGUGACCAAUUUGGCCUUGGGUUGGCGCCGCGGUGCCAACUCUGUGCACCAGAAAAAUUUUAGUUUUUGAAAUUUUGUGAACUUCCCGGACGCAUAAUUUCUUCGUUAUAAGUUCAAAUUGGCUCGUUCAAAAGCCUAUGCAAGAAUUUUAUUUAUUUGACUUUGUUUGCUAAAAAUUCACCUAUUGGUUCAUUUUUAACAAAAACGAUAAACGUUCGUGAACGUUCAACGCUCGUUUCUUCGUUCUAAGUCAGAAUUUGGUCAUUUUCGAGUCCGCAACUCUUAAAUGCCAAAUAUGACUUAUCUCCAUCGGAAAACAAUGGUUCCGAGUUCAAAC
This 751-nucleotide long non-coding RNA is filed under the name Panax ginseng (ginseng). RNAcentral describes it as "long non-coding RNA (PGIN_LNC016414)". Lineage: Eukaryota; Viridiplantae; Streptophyta; Magnoliopsida; Apiales; Araliaceae. The record is from RNAcentral.